Molecule: ribosomal RNA, 253 nt
Filed under: uncultured bacterium
Lineage: Bacteria
Description: partial 16S ribosomal RNA
Rfam family: Bacterial small subunit ribosomal RNA
Source: RNAcentral
UACGUAGGGGGCAAGCGUUGUCCGGAUUUAUUGGGCGUAAAGAGCGUGUAGGCGGCCAUACAGGUCAGCUGUGAAAACUCGAGGCUCAACCUCGAGACGUCGGUUGAAACCGUAUGGCUAGAGUCCGGAAGAGGAGAGUGGAAUUCCCGGUGUAGCGGUGAAAUGCGCAGAUAUCGGGAAGAACACCUAUGGCGAAGGCAGCUCUCUGGGACGGUACUGACGCUGAGACGCGAAAGCGUGGGUAGCAAACAGG